UACGUAGGGACCAAGCGUUUGUCCGGAAUCAUUGGGCGUAAAGCGCGCGUAGGUGGCCCCAUAAGUCCGCUGUGAAAGUCAAAGGCUCAACCUUUGAAAGCCGGUGGAUACUGUGGGACUAGAGUACGGAAGAGGCGAGUGGAAUUCCUGGUGUAGCGGUGGAAUGCGCAGAUAUCAGGAGGAACACCAAUAGCGAAGGCAGCUCGCUGGGACGUUACUGACACUGAGGCGCGAAAGCGUGGGGAGCGAACAGG
Molecule: ribosomal RNA, 254 nt
Filed under: uncultured bacterium
Lineage: Bacteria
Description: partial 16S ribosomal RNA
Rfam family: Bacterial small subunit ribosomal RNA
Source: RNAcentral